This 672-nucleotide ribosomal RNA is filed under the name Vibrio parahaemolyticus. RNAcentral describes it as "partial 23S ribosomal RNA". It matches the Rfam family "Bacterial large subunit ribosomal RNA", at positions 2269 to 2925 of the family's 2925-position model. The record is from RNAcentral. Lineage: Bacteria; Pseudomonadati; Pseudomonadota; Gammaproteobacteria; Vibrionales; Vibrionaceae.
UUUGACUGGGGCGGUCUCCUCCCAAAGAGUAACGGAGGAGCACGAAGGUGGGCUAAUCACGGUUGGACAUCGUGAGGUUAGUGCAAUGGCAUAAGCCCGCUUGACUGCGAGAAUGACAAUUCGAGCAGGUGCGAAAGCAGGUCAUAGUGAUCCGGUGGUUCUGAAUGGAAGGGCCAUCGCUCAACGGAUAAAAGGUACUCCGGGGAUAACAGGCUGAUACCGCCCAAGAGUUCAUAUCGACGGCGGUGUUUGGCACCUCGAUGUCGGCUCAUCACAUCCUGGGGCUGAAGUCGGUCCCAAGGGUAUGGCUGUUCGCCAUUUAAAGUGGUACGCGAGCUGGGUUUAGAACGUCGUGAGACAGUUCGGUCCCUAUCUGCCGUGGGCGUUGGAAGAUUGAAGGGGGCUGCUCCUAGUACGAGAGGACCGGAGUGGACGAACCUCUGGUGUUCGGGUUGUGUCGCCAGACGCAUUGCCCGGUAGCUAAGUUCGGAAUCGAUAACCGCUGAAAGCAUCUAAGCGGGAAGCGAGCCCUGAGAUGAGUCUUCCCUGAUACUUUAAGUAUCCUAAAGGGUUGUCGGAGACUACGACGUUGAUAGGUCAGGUGUGUAAGUGCUGUGAGGCAUUGAGCUAACUGAUACUAAUUGCCCGUGAGGCUUAACCAUACAACACCCA